This 66-nucleotide transfer RNA is filed under the name Aphodius pedellus. RNAcentral describes it as "tRNA-Cys". The record is from RNAcentral. Lineage: Eukaryota; Metazoa; Arthropoda; Insecta; Coleoptera; Scarabaeidae.
GGUCUUAUAGUCAAAUUUUAUAUGAUAUUAAAUUGCAAAUUUAAAGGUGGAAUAUUUCUAAGGCUU